This 433-nucleotide ribosomal RNA is filed under the name uncultured bacterium. RNAcentral describes it as "partial 16S ribosomal RNA". It matches the Rfam family "Bacterial small subunit ribosomal RNA", at positions 29 to 507 of the family's 1533-position model. The record is from RNAcentral.
AACGAACGCUGGCGGCAUGCCUAACACAUGCAAGUCGAAUGAGACCUUCGGGUCUAGUGGCGCACGGGUGCGUAACGCGUGGGAACAUGCCCUUAGGUUCGGAAUAACUCCCCGAAAGGGGUGCUAAUACCGGAUAAUGUCUUCGGACCAAAGAUUUAUCGCCUUUGGAUGGGCCCGCGUUGGAUUAGCUAGUUGGUAGGGUAAAAGCCUACCAAGGCGACGAUCCAUAGCUGGUCUGAGAGGAUGAUCAGCCACACUGGGACUGAGACACGGCCCAGACUCCUACGGGAGGCAGCAGUGGGGAAUAUUGGACAAUGGGCGAAAGCCUGAUCCAGCAAUGCCGCGUGAGUGAUGAAGGCCUUAGGGUUGUAAAGCUCUUUUACCCGGGAUGAUAAUGACAGUACCGGGAGAAUAAGCUCCGGCUAACUCCGUG